Molecule: ribosomal RNA, 408 nt
Filed under: uncultured bacterium
Lineage: Bacteria
Description: partial 16S ribosomal RNA
Rfam family: Bacterial small subunit ribosomal RNA
Source: RNAcentral
GACGAACGCUGGCGGCGUGCUUAACACAUGCAAGUCGAACGAAGUGGCGAACGGGUGAGUAACGCGUAAUCAACCUGCCCUUCAGAUGGGGACAACAGGUGGAAACGACUGCUAAUACCGCAUACUGAAGGAGGGGAUUGCGUCUGAUUAGCUAGUUGGAGGGGUAACGGCCCACCAAGGCGAUGAUCAGUAGCCGGUCUGGGAGGAUGAACGGCGACAGUGGGGCUGAGACACGGCCCAGACUCCUACGGGAGGAAGCAGGGGGGAAGCUUCCGCAAUGGACGAAAGUCUGACGGAGCAACGCCGCGGGAGUGAUGACGGCCUUGGGGUUGUAAAGCUCUGUUAGUCAGGACGCGGUACCGGAAUAGAAAGCCACGGCUAACUACGUGCCAGCAGCCGCGGUAAUAC